This 486-nucleotide ribosomal RNA is filed under the name uncultured bacterium. Its description in RNAcentral is "bacterial SSU rRNA". It matches the Rfam family "Bacterial small subunit ribosomal RNA", at positions 33 to 507 of the family's 1533-position model. The record is from RNAcentral.
GACGACGCUGGCGGCGUGGAUUAGGCAUGCAAGUCGAACGGUAUCAUCCUUUCGGGGGUGAGAGAGUGGCGAACUGGUGAGUAAUACGUAGGUUAUCUACCCUCAAGACGGGGACAACCCAGGGAAACUUGGGCUAAUACCGGAUGUGAGCAACUUUUAGUUGUUUGAAAGGUGGCGUAAGCUGUCGCUUGGGGAUGAGCCUGCGUCCUAUUAGUUAGUUGGUGAGGUAACGGCUCACCUAGGCAAUGAUAGGUAGGCGGCCUUAACGGGUGGUCGCCCACACUGGGAUUGAGAUACGGCCCAGACUCCUACGGGAGGCAGCAGUCGAGAAUAGUCUACAAUGGUCGGAAGACUGAUAGUGCGACGCCGCGUGAACGAUGAAUCCCUUCGGGGUGUAAAGUUCUUUUAUAUGUGAGCAGUGCUUCUUAUAUUAACAGUAUGGGGAGAGAGAUAUUAGCAUAUGAAUAAGCAACGGCUAACUCCGUG